RNAcentral lists this ribosomal RNA (253 nucleotides) under uncultured bacterium. RNAcentral's name for it is "partial 16S ribosomal RNA". It matches the Rfam family "Bacterial small subunit ribosomal RNA", at positions 524 to 776 of the family's 1533-position model. The record is from RNAcentral.
UACGGAGGGUGCAAGCGUUGUUCGGAAUCACUGGGCGUAAAGCGCGUGUAGGCGGCCAUCUAAGUCUGGUGUGAAAGCCCUGGGCUCAACUCAGGAAGUGCACUGGAUACUGGAUGGCUGGAGUACCGGAGAGGAGGGUGGAAUUCCUGGUGUAGCGGUGAAAUGCGUAGAUAUCAGGAGGAACACCGGUGGCGAAGGCGUCCCUCUGGCCGGAUACUGACGCUGAGACGAGAAAGCGUGGGGAGCAAACAGG